AAAUCUAUAUACUGAAAGUUAUACUAGAAGUGGUUUACUUAAGAUGUUGAAUCUGUGACAGCUUUAAGGGAAACUGGGAUUGGAUACCCCAUUAUUUUUAGUCGUAAAUUUAGUUUAAACUUACCAGAGUACUACGAAUAAAAAGUUUAAAACUCAAAGAGCUUGGCGGUGUUUUAGACCUCUCAGGGGAACCUGUCUCGUAAUCGACAAUCCACGUUAGACCUAACCCUUUGUGGUAAUACAGCCUGUAUACCGUCGUCGCCAGGUAACUUCUUAAAAUAUAGUAGUUAGCUUGAGAAUUAAAUUAAUUAAGACGUCAGAUCAAGGUGCAGCUAAUAAAAGGGUGAGGAUGGGUUACAAUUAUAUAUUUGUAAUUACGGAAAACACUUGAAAUGAAGUGCUUAAAGGAGGACUUGAAAGUAAUUUUAAUUAUAUGAGUAAAAUGAAUAAGGCUCUGAAACGUG
Molecule: ribosomal RNA, 464 nt
Filed under: Conus ochroleucus tmetus
Lineage: Eukaryota; Metazoa; Mollusca; Gastropoda; Neogastropoda; Conidae
Description: partial 12S ribosomal RNA
Source: RNAcentral